Molecule: ribosomal RNA, 434 nt
Filed under: uncultured Pseudobutyrivibrio sp.
Lineage: Bacteria; Bacillati; Bacillota; Clostridia; Lachnospirales; Lachnospiraceae
Description: bacterial SSU rRNA
Rfam family: Bacterial small subunit ribosomal RNA
Source: RNAcentral
ACGGAAGGCAGCAGUGGGGAAUAUUGCACAAUGGGCGCAAGCCUGAUGCAGCGACGCCGCGUGAGCGAAGAAGUAUUUCGGUAUGUAAAGCUCUAUCAGCAGGGAAGAUAAUGACGGUACCUGACUAAGAAGCACCGGCUAAAUACGUGCCAGCAGCCGCGGUAAUACGUAUGGUGCAAGCGUUAUCCGGAUUUACUGGGUGUAAAGGGAGCGUAGGCGGUCAUGCAAGUCUGAUGUGAAAACCCGGGGCUCAACUUCGGGAUUGCAUUGGAAACUGUAAGACUAGAGUGUCGGAGGGGUAAGUGGAAUUCCUAGUGUAGCGGUGAAAUGCGUAGAUAUUAGGAGGAACACCAGUGGCGAAGGCGGCUUACUGGACGAUUACUGACGCUGAGGCUCGAAAGCGUGGGGAGCAAACAGGAUUAGAUACCCUGGUA